AUUGAACGCUAGCGGGAUGCUUUACACAUGCAAGUCGAACGGCAGCACGAGGAGCUUGCUCCUUGGUGGCGAGUGGCGAACGGGUGAGUAAUAUAUCGGAACAUGCCCAGUAGCGGGGGAUAACUACUCGAAAGAGUGGCUAAUACCGCAUACGUCCUACGGGAGAAAGCAGGGGACCUUCGGGCCUUGCACUAUUGGAGUGGCCGAUAUCGGAUUAGCUAGUUGGUGGGGUAAAGGCCUACCAAGGCGACGAUCCGUAGCUGGUUUGAGAGGACGACCAGCCACACUGGGACUGAGACACGGCCCAGACUCCUACGGGAGGCAGCAGUGGGGAAUUUUGGACAAUGGGGGAAACCCUGAUCCAGCCAUCCCGC
This 374-nucleotide ribosomal RNA is filed under the name uncultured Alcaligenes sp. RNAcentral's name for it is "bacterial SSU rRNA". It matches the Rfam family "Bacterial small subunit ribosomal RNA", at positions 30 to 400 of the family's 1533-position model. Lineage: Bacteria; Pseudomonadati; Pseudomonadota; Betaproteobacteria; Burkholderiales; Alcaligenaceae. The record is from RNAcentral.